Molecule: ribosomal RNA, 228 nt
Filed under: uncultured bacterium
Lineage: Bacteria
Description: partial 16S ribosomal RNA
Rfam family: Bacterial small subunit ribosomal RNA
Source: RNAcentral
UGCGUAGGCGGGCUAAUAAGUCAGUGGUGAAAUCUUUCGGCUCAACCGAGAAACUGCCAUUGAUACUGUUAGUCUUGAGUUCGGUUGAGGUAGGCGGAAUGUGUAAUGUAGCGGUGAAAUGCUUAGAUAUUACACAGAACACCAAUUGCGUAGGCAGCUUACUAGACCGACACUGACGCUGAGGCACGAAAGCGUGGGGAGCAAACAGGAUUAGAUACCCUGGUAGUC